ACGGAAUAGAUACCCUGGUAGUCCACGCCCUAAACGAUGUCUACUAGUUGUCGGGUCUUAAUUGACUUGGUAAACGCAGCUAAACGCGUGAAGUAGACCGCCUGGGGAGUACGGUCGCAAGAUUAAAACUCAAAGGAAUUGACGGGGACCCGCACAAGCGGUGGAUGAUGUGGAUUAAUUCGAUGCAACGCGAAAAACCUUACCUACCCUUGACAUGGAUGGAAUCCCUGAGAGAUUGGGGAGUGCUCGAAAGAGAACCAUUACACAGGUGCUGCAUGGCUGUCGUCAGCUCGUGUCGUGAGAUGUUGGGUUAAGUCCCGCAACGAGCGCAACCCUUGUCAUUAGUUGCUACGAAAGGGCACUCUAAUGAGACUGCCGGUGACAAACCGGAGGAAGGUGGGGAUGACGUCAAGUCCUCAUGGCCCUUAUGGGUAGGGCUUCACACGUCAUACAAUGGUACAUACAGAGGGCCGCCAACCCGCGAGGGGUAGCUAAUCCCAGAAAGUGUAUCGUAGUCCGGAUUGUAGUCUGCAACUCG
This 538-nucleotide ribosomal RNA is filed under the name uncultured bacterium. RNAcentral's name for it is "bacterial SSU rRNA". It matches the Rfam family "Bacterial small subunit ribosomal RNA", at positions 772 to 1314 of the family's 1533-position model. The record is from RNAcentral.